Molecule: ribosomal RNA, 570 nt
Filed under: uncultured bacterium
Lineage: Bacteria
Description: partial 16S ribosomal RNA
Rfam family: Bacterial small subunit ribosomal RNA
Source: RNAcentral
UGGGGAAUUUUGGACAAUGGGCGAAAGCCUGAUCCAGCAAUGCCGCGUGUGUGAAGAAGGCCUUCGGGUUGUAAAGCACUUUUGUCCGGAAAGAAAUCCUUGGCUCUAAUACAGUCGGGGGAUGACGGUACCGGAAGAAUAAGCACCGGCUAACUACGUGCCAGCAGCCGCGGUAAUACGUAGGGUGCAAGCGUUAAUCGGAAUUACUGGGCGUAAAGCGUGCGCAGGCGGUUUGCUAAGACCGAUGUGAAAUCCCCGGGCUCAACCUGGGAACUGCAUUGGUGACUGGCAGGCUAGAGUAUGGCAGAGGGGGGUAGAAUUCCACGUGUAGCAGUGAAAUGCGUAGAGAUGUGGAGGAAUACCGAUGGCGAAGGCAGCCCCCUGGGCCAAUACUGACGCUCAUGCACGAAAGCGUGGGGAGCAAACAGGAUUAGAUACCCUGGUAGUCCACGCCCUAAACGAUGUCAACUAGUUGUGGGGAUUCAUUUCCUUAGUAACGUAGCUAACGCGUGAAGUUGACCGCCUGGGGAGUACGGUCGCAAGAUUAAAACUCAAAUGAAUUGACGGGGU